UACAGAGGUCUCAAGCGUUGUUUGGAUUCAUUGGGCGUAAAGGGUGCGUAGGCGGCGCGGUAAGUCGGGUGUGAAAUCUUGGAGCUUAACUCCGAAACUGCAUUCGAUACUGCCGUGCUUGAGGACUGGAGAGGAGACUGGAAUUUACGGUGUAGCGGUGAAAUGCGUAGAUAUCGUAAGGAAGACCAGUGGCGAAGGCGGGUCUCUGGACAGUUCCUGACGCUGAGGCACGAAGGCCAGGGGAGCAAACGGG
RNAcentral lists this ribosomal RNA (253 nucleotides) under uncultured bacterium. Its description in RNAcentral is "partial 16S ribosomal RNA". It matches the Rfam family "Bacterial small subunit ribosomal RNA", at positions 524 to 776 of the family's 1533-position model. The record is from RNAcentral.